GAGAGAGGUGGAGAGAGAGUACCAAGUGGGCUCAGCACUGUUAGUGCAGAGCCACACUUGGAACGUGAUCUCAUCAUGACCUGAGCUGAAAUCAAGAGUCUGAUGUUUAACUGACUGAGCCACCCAGGUGCCGCCUCAUCUUCAGUUUUCUUGAUUCCGCCUCAUUCUCCAAAUACCUCAGAAAUAAUUGGCAGAGAUUCCAUGAACACAUGUGAAGUUCUUUCUAUCCUGAGGACACCAAAACAUAUGUAUGUAGCUAUCUGCUUCAGAUUCCUGGGAUUCAUUUCCUGUAAUGUGAGUUAUUGAAAGUAAAGAUUGAAUUGUUCUGCACCCAGUUUUACACAUAGAACACACUUUUUAAUAUAUUUUUUUUAAAAAAUCAACAUAAUGGAGAGGAAAAGAAGCCUUAUAAUCUUGUUUUAUAAAAAAGAAAGAAGACCACUAUUACUUGCCUUUUUGGCAGGAGCAACACUUCUAUCACACAUGAAUGGUUCUUUUGUUAAGGGAAAAAAAACAACAGAUAAAUCUGGAUGAGACGCUCAAGGUGAGAAAGUCAAGGUCCUUCUGGGCAUAGCCUGAUGGGCAACACUGGAUAAAGGGAAGGCUCGAUUUCUCUAUAAUAAAUAAUGAACAAUGUAUCAGUCUGGGACAUAAGCCUUGGACAUGAGAAGAAGGGAAAAGAUACGAAAAGGGCAAUGGUGCCAGGUGCUGCCCAAGAGCAUGGCAGAGGGCCUGGAACACAACAGAGGAACACAGACAGGGAAGCAAUUCUGAAGCUGCUCUCACGCAAAUCUCAAACUUCCCUGUGUUAGCCCAAGAGGUGAUAUGGAAACGAUAAUAUAGGACAGGGUACUUUGCUUCCAGAGUAAUCUACAAGGGAGCAUGGCACACCAGGCCACCAUAGCCUGGCAUCAAAGGAGUGGAUCCAACACUGUGGACUGCUGGGUGAAGAUUGGGCAGAAGAAUUCAAAGGCACUUGUUUAAGCCAGAGGACCUGGGAGACGCAGCAGUACUAUGGCCCUACUACACUGUCCUAAUAUGCAAGGAAACACACACAGUAGGUUCACUGUGCUCAGACACAUGAAACAAAGCAAAGACUGCUGCCCUAUUCGAUAAAUGUAUCUGAACUGCCUAUGAAAGCAACGCUGCCAGAAUAAACAUUUUGUUUACUACACAGCCCUGCUUACAACUGUCAACAGAGAAAUAUAAAAGGAGAUUUAAGUCUUCAUUCCUAGAUAGUGAACUCCUGUGUGCUUCUACAAUGCAGGUCAUUACAGACUCGGCUGCCCCCUGAGAUGGAGCAAUUCUUGUGCACAUUGUAACAAAAGGCUGCGGGUCUGGCAGCGUGGGAGUGGACUGGGCCACUUAGAUAAGUUUCAUUCACUGUAGGAGCCCAAGGGAACAGUGCAUCAAGGCAGCUGCACCGCCUCAGUUCGUGGUGUAACUUUACACUAUUUUCCCUUUAAGUCGCUACUAAUCCCUUGGGUUUACAUGUUUUUGGGGCUGCAUCAGAGAAAAGCAGUGUGAAAUUGCCUGAAAGCCUCCUUAUAAAUAAGACUUACGAUAUAGACCAGCUCUGUUGAUGAAAAGACUGAGAGAAUGCCCUUGAGGGCCCCAAGAGCCAUUUUACAAGGCUCCCACUGUGAUUUUUUUGGUCUCUAUCUGACUGCUAAAAAGAAAUUACUAAGUAGGUUAAAAAUCUCACCGGCCCAAAAUUCAGUUAGAAAUGAAGCCUUAGCAUUAACAUAAAUCCUGUCUACAUAUUUACUAACCAAUAUUGCUUGUUUAAAUUUCAUAUUCUUUUCUAAAAGAUAUCUUACCCCUUUUGACACACAGGAGAAAGAAAAAAAAAGCAGGAAAUUGGGAUCAGAGAUUAGAACACUAGCCUAAGUUUCCAAGAACUCUGGAUUUGCUUCCUAAAGGAGGUACAAGGCACCAGUAUGGGGCAUUUACAUGCUUCAUCUUCUUAGGUGAAUUCUUUGAAGUAUUAUUGUUCCAUUUUGAAGAUGAGGAAACUGAGGCUAGUAAAGACAAGACCAUUCAUUUAGCAUGGGAGUGUCUUACUUUAAAAUAAUCAUGCUUUUUCUCGUAUUGCUGAUCAGAGAAGCUAGAGGAAGUGUCCCUACUAGCAAAGAGGACAUGGGGAGCCAAUAGAAAAACCCUCUCCCCUCCUUGUUCCCUUGGGUUCUUCAGUAUCACCAGUGGAUCUCUCCUGUUUACUCUUAUGCUUCUGGAAAUUGGUCUGACUUCCUACCCUGCUCCUUUUACGAAAACACUAACUCCUCUUCCUCCUUCCAUUUCCUAACACUCUGUCCUGUCCACCCCACCCUGCCUCCCUUUGGUUUUCCUACUCUCUAAAUCCUCCUACAAAUAGCCAUUUGGAAACAAUUUCAAGAUCCACCUACUUUCCUGUGCAUCUGUCUUUUGUAAUUUAGAGGUUAGGGACUGUGUGUUUUACUUGUCAUGUUUAUGCCUCAUACUCUGUGGGUAUCUAAUAAAUGCUGAAUAAUAGCAGCUUUAAGACAGUGUAGAACCAGAAACACAGGUUCUCAUGUUUAGCAUUUCAUCACCAGCAAGGAACAUUUAUUCACUGUCAGCACUAUGCUGGGCACUAAAAUGAAGUUAAUUACUAUAGCUGGACUCCUCUUGUUGUACACCUUGGCAUUUUACUUUUCUAUCUUAUUGUCUUGACGAAAGGAAGGAAGGAAGGAAGGAAGGAAGGAAGGAAGGA
Acinonyx jubatus (cheetah) is the source of this 2731-nucleotide long non-coding RNA. RefSeq lists it as uncharacterized. The record is from RefSeq and is a predicted model, not a curated record. The transcript has 4 exons. NCBI's taxonomy places the organism in Eukaryota, Metazoa, Chordata, Mammalia, Carnivora, Felidae.